Molecule: long non-coding RNA, 43123 nt
Filed under: Olea europaea subsp. europaea
Lineage: Eukaryota; Viridiplantae; Streptophyta; Magnoliopsida; Lamiales; Oleaceae
Source: RNAcentral
UCUUCCCACACUACUUCAACUUGUUCUUGCUUGCCCCUUGCUAUUGAAACUUUGAUUCUCUCCACUAUAAAGAAAGAAAAUGGGUCUUAAAGGUAAACUAACUGCCCAAAUUGAAAUUAGAGCUGGUGGAGAUGUCUUUCAUGAACUAUUUAGGUACAAACCACACCAAAUUCCCAACAUGAGCCCUACUAUUAUCCAACGCUGUGAUUUGCAUCAAGGAGAGUGGGGAACUAUUGGCUCCGUCAUCUUCUGGAAUUACACUCAUGGUAUGUUAAAUUGUAUUGAAAAAGAUCAUACUGAAUAGUACAACGAUAAUAUUUUAACUUAUUAUUCUAGUUAAAAGUGUCCAUUCUUUUCUAAUUCACUAUGCUAAUAGUAUUAUUGUCUAAUCAUGUGAUAUUUUAUUAUCCGUUGUGCUACAUGUAUAUAAUAGUUUAUAUACUGUUUGGUAUCGAUUAAAAUUUAUCUUUUAAUUUAAGUCAAAGUCAACAAUUCAUUUCAACCACAUAUUUUGUGGGUCUAACAACUUUUCAAGUACACAUUUCAUUAACUCCUAUCAAAAUCUCUUAAAUAUCUAAUCUUAAUCCCCACCAAAUAGGGUAAUAAUGGUUUACUUACACAUGAUGUGAUAAAAUAUGAUUGGUAGGAAUUUAUACAACCAAAAAAAUAAAUAAAUAAAAUAAAAUAAUCUCUUCCUUCUUUUUGAUACAUCAUCUAUAUGUAAAUCAUUAUAUAAUUUCAUUAUGUACAAGUAACAUUAUUCUUCUACUCUUAAGCUUAAAAAUUAAAUUCGAUAUGAUUGUAGAUGGGAAGCAAAAAGUAGCAAAAGAAGUAAUUGAAGCCAUAGACGUAGAAAAAAGGUCUGUGACAUUUAAGAUCAUUGAGGGUGAUUUGAUGGAGUUAUACAAGGCCUUCAAAGCCAGUUUUCAUGUUGAAACAAAUGGUGAUGUCGAUUUGGUGACAUGGACUUUCGAGUAUGAGAAGCUAAAUGACGACAUUGAAGAUCCACUAUCAUUGUUGGGUGUUUCCAUUAAGCUUACUAAAGAUAUUGAAUCUCACCAUCUCAAGGCAGCCUGAUAUGCAUAGGAGAGUCUCACUAAGCCAUCUCAACUUGUUUAUGCGAAUAUGUGUGUUUCUUUAUCGUUUUAGUAAUGAAAUAAAUAUUUCUUGGUGAUGUUUCUGGGUGAAAUAAUGUUGUGGCUUGGUGAUAAUUGUGUCACUGAGUGAUUAAGCAUAUUCUUAUUUUGUGAAAUAAUUAAAGUGCAGAAUACAAUUUAUGCCUUAUGGAGUACUUCUUCGCUUAUUUUUUUGGAGAAAAUUCACCUCCAACUGGUGGAUAAAUUCCGAAGAGUUGAUGAAUUCUUAUUUAAGAAUUGUUUUAGAUUAUAUAGAAUUAUGAAAUACUUUCAAAAAUUUUUAUAUACUUUUAUUCUAAAAGAUUUUUAUAAAGUUGCAUUAAAACAUUUAGUAUAUAUAAUCAUCAUAUAUCCCACUAAAUAAAGGAUAACUCGGAGCCAACCAAUAAUUAAGAUCAUACCAAAAUAGGUUGGCACAAUGAAUGAAAAGAGGUGCCCAUGCUUACCAAGAUAAUAUUAAAAAAAAAAAUCCUUCCCACCCACUCAACAGAAAAAUGGAAAACCCACUUCAAGAGAAAAUCUAAAAUAAAAAAUAUACAGAUCAAUAAUUAAUAUUACAAGAUGUAACGUAGGGUUCAAUUGUUCAUUUCUGCGUAGUUCUUAUGAGAAUUGAACUAAGCCAAGUACAAACAGAAAUCCUAAAUAGAGAAUCGUUGGUUUCCAGUCUAAUUACGGAGAUAGAACCACAUCAAAACUGACUACUAGUUGUAUUGGUUAGAUUCAGUUCUUGGUAUUAAAUUUUUGUAGAAUUUAUUUAGCCCCUGUUUGAUGGCCAUUAUUUGAUAAAAAAUUUGCUUUGAAUAAUGAAUUUUUGGAGAUUGUGUAGUUAAAAGGUAAGAAAAAUUUUUGAAUUUACGUGCAGAAUAUUUUAUUUUAUGAAUUGUGGUUAAAAAUGAAUAUGUAAAAUUAAAAAAAUUCGAUAUAAUAGCUAUGAAACAAGGGCUUUUGACAACACAAACUCUAUAUAUAAAUAUUCCGAUUAGUGUAAAACAAGCAGUAAGCAAUAAUAUUACCAACAUAUGUGUAUACUUUAAAGAUUUUGAAAGAUUUUCAAAAUUUUUUAUAUACUUUUAUUCUAAAAUAUUUUUAUGAAGUUGCAUUAAAACAAUUAGUAUAUAUAAUCAUCAUAUAUCCCACUAAAUAAAGGAUAACUUGAAGCCAACCAAUAAUUAAGAUCAUACCAAAAUAGCUUGGCAUAGUGAAUGAAAAGAGGUGCCCAUGCUUACCAAGAUAAUAUUAAAAAAAAUCCUUCCCACCCACUCAACAGAAAAAUGGAAAACCCACCUCAAGAAAAAAUGUAAAAUAAAAAAUAUGCUGAUCAAUAAUUAAUAUUACAAGAUGUAAUGUAGGGUUUAAUUUUUCAGUUCUAAGUAGUUCUUAUGAGAAAAGUACAAACAGAAAUCCUAAAUAGAGAAUCGUUGGUUUCCAGUGUAAUUAUGGAAUCAGAACCACAUCAAAACUGACUACUAGUUGUAUUGGUUAGAUUCAGUUCUUGGUAUUAAAUUAUUUUAGAAUUUAUUUAGCCCCUGUUUGAUGGCCAUUAUUUGACAAAAAAAUUGUUUUGAAUAAUGAAUAUUUGAAGAUUGUGUGGUUAAAAAGUAGAAAAAAGUUUUGAAUUUAAUACUUUAUUUUAUGAAUGUGUGGUUAAAAAUGAAUAUGUAAAAUAAAAAAAAAUCGAUAUAAUAGCUAUGAAACAAGGGCUUUUGACAACACAAACUUUUUAGAUUAAUAUUCCGAUUAGUGUAAAACAAGCAGUAUGCAAUAAUAUUACCAGCAUAUGUGUAUACUUUAAAAAUUAUCUAUGCUAUAUGCCUACAUUUAUAUCUAUUUAGAUUUACAAUCUAUAAAAUGUGUGAAUAGGUGAAAUUAAAACAUUUAGUUUUUCAUUUUGUCCUUAUAUUUUUUUAGUUCAUAAUCAACCAUAACCUUAUGCCUAUCAAAUAAUUACUGACAUUAUUAUAUAGGUCAACAUUUUAAAUUAAACUUUAAAAUGCUAUAAAUUCUAAAACGUUCAGUUCAUGUCCACCACAUAAUUACGGGCAAACCUAUUAUUUACGACAGUUUGGUGGAAAAUACGUUGAUAUAUAGGAAGUUUUGUUUGGUGAAAAAUACGUUGAUAUAUUGCCGUGGCAUAAUUUCUUGUGACGAUGCCAAACUAUGGUAAUACUAUUUGAGAGUCCAGCGGUUAUAAGGGGGCGAUUGCUGUUGCAAAGUGGCAAAGCUAUGGCAAAUGGUUUUUGCUACAGUUUUGGUACUAUUUGCCAUAGUUUUUUUAGCUUGGCAAAUCCUGAUUUUCUUGUAGUGUACCCAGCAAAUUACGUUUUCCCUUAAAACCCAAUUUUUAAUUAUUUAUAUUAUUAGUUUAAAAAAUUAUUCAUAUUAUUUACGACAUUUGAAUUUUUAUAUAAUGGACAUAAAUUUUAGAAUUUGUUGCAAAUGAAUGUAAAUAAUGUAAAUAUAUAACGGUCAUUUUAUUAUGCUUAUGUUGACAGUAAACACAAUAGAUAUCUUUCAUAUUUUCUUUCUCUAUUUUUUGUUUCCCUAUACUCAUCAUUAAUAUUAUAUACUUAAUGAUGACAUUGGAAGCAUUUUUAUAUAAUGGACAUAUAUUUUCAGAAUUUGUUGCUAAUGAAUGUAAAAUGACGUUAAACAAUGAUGUUCGUAUUGAGAUGUUGUGCUGUGAAUGAUCAUUUGACACCCAAAAAAAAAUAAAAAAAAAUAACCUAUUAAGUGGAAUGCAACUUUAAAAGAGAGGGCACAUCUUUUGGUUCAAAACUACUUAAACUAGAUUGUCAUAAGCAAUUUACAUGCUCCAGGAGAAAUGUUCGUAUGUACCUCAUCCAUGUAGAACAUUUGAGGGUAUGAUUUGCAUGGUUUGUCUAAAAUCAAAUGCUGAAGAUGCUACCCUAGGUGCCUCUAUCUUGAUCAACUGGCAAAGAUGUAUCUCCCUAUCUCCCUCAUUCUAUACUUUUUAAGAACCCCCUAAAAACUCUUACUUUGCCAGUACUCUUAGAGAUUGUCGCGACACUGCCCUUUUACUGUUUGGAAGCCGGGAAAAAGGUCCAUUAAAUAAUAAAACAGGCUGAGUAAUAAGGAUGAUCACAUUAAAUGAUACACACCCCCAAUAGAUCAUGACUCAUUGGUACAGAAGAAGAAUUAAUGCCCACAGCCCCAAAAAAUUAUCUUAAAAAACUCAUUUCUCUCUUUAUAUUUGUUAAUUUCUUUAUUCAAUCAAAUUUUCUAUUUAGACUUAUAUUAUUUUUGAUGAAGACAGGACAUGGAUGUCACGAAGAUGGGUGACAACUGGCUCAUUUUCAUUAUUAUUUCUUCCUUUUUUUCUUUUUUCUUUUUUUAAUGUUUAUAAGCCCUUUUUCAUUUAUUAUUUACUAAUUGGCCUCUUCUAGUAAUCAUUAGUAGUCUAGGGUGUUUAGUUUUAAUUUUUAUUAUUUAAGCGAAAGAUGUGUUCCGUAGCUUUGUCCCUCGUUGAAUCAUAAAAACUUGAGUUUGGGGUGAUUUUCAACUUUCAUUUAUUGUAUUCAAAUCAACGAGUUUUGUUGAUCUUGUUGUAUUCUUCACUUCCAUCACGACAUCAAUUGACUAUGGCUCAUGCAGAAAAAAUAAAGAAUAUGAGCAAUGAACUGAUUCUCCAGCUUCUAGAACUUCAAAGUUUGAAAUAGAGAUAUUUUCAAAAUAAUUAUAGUUUAUUAAUAAUAUCACAAUAUUAAUCACUCAGAAACUUCGCAAAGCAACAUUUAUUCAUUACCAAGUAGUACGGUAAUUAUUCGACCAAGACAAACUAUGAAAACGAAACACACAUGAUAAGUGUGUUUUUGCACACUUUAUUUAAGUCACAAACAUGACUUAAUUAUGAGCAAAAAGAUUGAAUUGUGACUUAAUAUUGUUACAUUUGUGAAUUGUAGGGAACACUGAUGAACAUGGUGAAAUUCAGGAGAAAAGACGCGAAAAGGACUAAAAUGACGCAAAGUGAAAGUUCAGGGACCAAGGUGCAAUUAUCCAAAAGUUGACCCGAUGAACAAAUCAAGAAAUUGAUUAAGCCAAAUGCCAAUUGAUGAUAUCUUGGGAUGAUGAGAUGGAAAGAAUGAAGAAAAUAUGCCAAGAAGUGAAAGAUUCAAGUAGAAGGACCAAAUUGGAGAAAAUGAAAGUUAGAGUCUACCAUGCGGCCGCAUGGUAGAACUCUCGUGCGGUCGCACAAAUGAGUGCAGAAAAUUUUGGAGACAGCAUGACAUAACCAUGCGGCUGCACGGAUUAAAGCCAUGCGGUCGCAUGGUAGGUUUCCGACGCGAAAAUUUUACUUUCCUUGUACAAUAGAAACUCUUUUGGUAACAAAAUUUUCAUGCGAUAUAAGUACCAAAAGACGUACAAAACGAAGGGGACGCCGAUUUUACAAGAAAAAAAGGGAGAUUUUCAAGGAGAAAACGAAGAUAGAACAAGAGAAAAAUAUUGCGCCAAUUGAAGAAUUGAUUGAAAUUUGAUUCAGAUGAUGACGUUUCUUCAACUAUUUUUGUAUUUUCUUCUUUUUAGUAUGUUAGGCUAGAUUUUUUUAUGUACAAAGAGAUCGAUGAACCUUGCAAUACAAGUUUUGAUUUUUGAUUUGGAGAUUUAAACACAUGUUCUAGAAUUGAAAGAUUUAUACGUUUUUAUUUCCAUAUUAUUAUUGUGCACGUAAUUAUAUGAUUUUGGUGGCCUGUUUUAUGCAUUCGAGAGAAGGAAAAUAGGCUCAACAUAGUAUAAAUCAUCAUAGGGUCCGAUAGAGGAUAGAAAUAUACCUCUAUGCCUCGUGUGAAUUGUUGAAUAUUUAUGAAAUCAUAAUACAUUCCUGUAUGUUAGUAUUCGUCAUAGAGAUAUAGUCGAAUCACAUAUUAGGGUAGGUUUGGCAUUACUGGAGAGAGAUUGCUAAAUUAAGAUAGGAAUAUUGAUUCAUCAAUUGUGGGACUGUGCGUCAAAUUUGCAUGAUUAAAAGUUGAGCGGGUGUUGCUUGGGAACGUGAUCCUAGUGCGUUAGUAAUUCAUGAAUUCCAUAAAUUUUUGUAGAUUGCAUCCAGGUCAUUUUACAUUUAGUAUAAGUUUCUCACUCAUGAUCGCAUCAUAGUUCACAUCUUCAUUUGUUAGAUCACAACACAUACACCUUACUUUCGUGUUUCGUUUAAGGUCAUAAUAGGAUGAUUUGAACUAAUCCAAUCCUUGUGGGAUCGAUACUUGGACUCAUAAUCCAUUUUACUACUUGUUAACGAACCGUACACUUGCGAUAAGCUUUAAAUCAAAAGAAAUAAUUUUAAGAACAAGUUUUUGGCGCUGUUGCCGAGGAUUGAAAUUUAGUUUAAUUUUAUCUACUGUGACACUAAUUCGAAUUUACCUAGAUUAGUAGUAGUUAGCUUACUAGACUUAGUUUAUUGUUUACUUUAAUUUAAUUUUGUGCUAUUUUAUUAUCUCAGGGCUUGUAUGCAAAGAUCACCUGAUUGAGAUUUGGUUCCAAUUGAUCCAAAGAUCAAACGCACAUUUUGUCACAGGCAAAGGAAAGUAAGAGCGGCACAACAAAUGGCUAACGAGCAAAAUCGUCCGGUAAUUGAACUCAACGAAGGUGCGGGGGUUGAAGAUGAAGGGAAUAUGGUACUUGGGGGCUUCAUGGCACCGUUGGUGGUCCAAAGUUAAUCUAGCAUUGUGUAUCCUCCAUUUGGGCAACCGAACUUCCAUCUGAAAAUAAAUGUAAUUCAACUAUAUCAGAAUGGGCAUCAAUAUCACGGGAUAGCUAAUGAGAAUCCACACACACACAUAUCCCGAUUUCUGGAUAUGUGCCAACACUUAGGUACCAGGGUAUCUCAGACGAUGCUAUAAGAUUGCGAUUGUUUCCACACACCUUGCGGGAUAAAAGUACUUGAAUGACUGGAUUCACUUCCUGUCGCAAGUAUCACCACUUGGAACGAGCUAGCCCACAAAUUCUGUACCAAGUACUUCUCGCCAGCUAAGGUAGCAAAAAUGCGGCAUGACAUAUUCUUAUUCAACUAAGACGAGUCCGAAUCAUUUUAAGAGGCUUGGAAUCACUUCAAAAAAUAUGUUAAGGAAGUGUCCUUAGCAUGGCUUUGAUAAAAAGACACAAAUUCGAUUUUUCUACACUAGAUUACUUCCAUCCUUCAAGAGCAUGGUGGAUUCAUCAUCCAACGGGUCAAUCUCCAUGAGAACAAUUGACGUAGCAUGGUAACUGUUUGAGAGAAUGACUACAACUUCAGCCAUGUGGUAUACAGAUCGAGUGGUUCAGAAGAAAACGCUGGGGGUUUAUGAAGUAGAUACUUACUCAGCAUUAUCCAUGAAGAUAGACUCCUUGUUCCAUAAGGUUGAGAGCAUUUCACAGACCGCCAAUGCAAAACAAGUCAAGAAGCCAAGCUGUGAAGAAUGUGGAGCAAACCACAAUACUGUCAAUUGUCAAAUUCUCGCACAGGGGAUCGAACAUGUAGAUUUUGUGCAAUGGGGUCAACGCCAAUAGAACAAUCCACAUUCGAAAACCUUAAAUCAGGGCUGGAGAAAACACUCAAACUUCUUAUGGAGUAACCAGAAUCAAAACAGACCACAAGGUCAACUUCAGCAGGAAGAUAAAAAGCCACCAUUGGAAUAGAUGUUUGAGAAGUUUAUGGCAACGAAAAAUCAGUACAUGGAGGCUAACAAGCAGUUUAUUCGAAAGACAGAAGCAACUCUCCAAGAUUAAAGUGCUGCAAUCAAAAAUUUGGAGACGCAAAUGGGACAGAUGACAAUCUCCAUGAUAGGUAGAGCACUAGGAAACCUACCUAACAACACUGAAAUCAAUCCUAAGGAGCACGCAAAGGCUAUAACAACCAGAAGUGGAUUACAACUACUUGAGAUACAUGUGAAAAGAUCGGUAGCUAGCAAGGAAUCAGCGCCAACCUCAGAUGACGAGAUUGUGGAACAGACUGAACAAACAACAGAGGAUGUUGCUAAGAAGAGUUCCAAUACAUCACGGGUUACAGAUACCAAUUCUAUCAACCCUAAUGAGCCACCUAUUCCAUUCCCACAGAGGUUGAAAAGCAUAAAUUGGAUCAGCAAUAUAGUAAAUUUCUUAAAGUCUUCAAGAAACUACACUUUAACAUCUCAUUUGCUGAGACACUUGUUCAGAUGCCGAGUUAUGCGAAAUUCCUAAAGGAUAUCCUCUCUAAUAAGCGAAAGAUAGAAGAAAAUGAAACAGUGAUGCUAAUUGAGGAAUGCAGUGCCAAAAUCCAGAAAAAGCUGCCUUCAAAACUAAAGGAUCUAGGGAGUUUUACUAUACCUUGCACUAUUGGAAAUUGUCAUUUUGAUAAAGUUUUGUGUGAUUUAGGUACAAGUAUUAAUUUGAUACCUCUCUUUAUUUUCAGAAAACUCGGCUUGGGAGAAGCUAAACCCACAACAGUCACCCUACAGUUAGCAGAUUGAUCCCUUACACAUCCAAGAGGGAUCAUUGAAGAUGUGUUGGUAAAAGUAGAAAAGUUUAUAUUUCCAGCCGUUUUUCUCAUCUUAGACAUGGAGGAAGAUAAGGAUGUUCCACUCAUAUUGGGGUGACCCUCCUUAGCUACUGGAAGAACUAUUGUCGAUGUUCAAAAAGGGUAGCUUAUAUUGAAGCUUGGCGAAGAACAGAUCUCUUUCAAUGUGUUAAAUGCAAUGAAAUUUCCCACUGAGUCAGACAGCUAUUUCCAGAUCAAGGUAAUUGAUAGAACAAUUCAAGAUACAUUUUGGCUACAUCAUACUUCCAUGCAUACGAGGCAUGCAUUGCACAUUCUCAAUCCACUCACACUGAUUCAAGUGAGAUUGAAACAUGUGCAGGAUUUUUGGAAACUAGUUCACCAUACAUGCGCAAACGUCACUUCGAAGAACUGGGAACUAGGACUACAAAGUCAGUGCCAUCUAUUCAGCAACCUCCCAAGUUGGAACUCAAACAAUUGUCACCACACCUUCGAUACGCUUACAUGGGGGAGUCUUCUACACUCCCGGUUAUUAUUUCAAAUACUGUCAGUGAAGUGAAGGAAGAGAGACUACUUUAGGUACUGAGGGAGAAUAAAACAGUCAUAGGAUGGUCAAUUGCAGAUAUCAAUGGGAUCAACCCAUCACUAUGCAUGCACAAAAUACUCAUGGAGGAAAAUUUCAAGCCAAUCAUUGAUGGUCAGCGGAGAUUGAAUCCAAAUAUGAAGGAAGUGGUUAGGGCUGAGGUAUUGAAGUUACUCGAUGCAGGCAUCAUCUACCCAAUAUCAGAUAGUGCAUGGGUCAGUCCAGUGUAGGUUGUUCCAAAGAAGGGAGGUAUCACAGUGGUGCAGAACGAGAAAAAUGAGUUGAUUCCUACAAGAACAGUGACUUGAUGGAGAGUUUGCAUCGAUUACCACAAACUAAAGGCUGCUACUCGAAAUGAUCAUUUUCCACUACCAUUCAUUGAUCAGAUGUUGGAAAGACUAGCAAAGCACUCACAUUACUGUUUUCUGGAUGGGUACUCCGGGUAUAAUCAGAUUCUAGUAGCACCUGAUGACCAGGAGAAGACAACUUUCAUAUGCCCCUACGGUACCUUUGCAUACCGUAGGAUACCCUUUGGUUUGUGCAACGCCCCUCCACCUUUCAGCACUGCAUGAUGGCUAUCUUUUCUUAUAUGAUUGAGAAAUUCAUCGAGGUAUCCAUGGACGACUUCUUAGUGUUUGGGUCUUCGUUUGAUGAGUGUUUGGAGCAUCUGAUUCUUGUGUUACAACGGUGUACAGAGACUGACUUGGUAUUGAAUUGGGAGAAAUGUCACUUUAUAGUACAGGAGGGCAUCGUGUUAGGACACAGAAUAUUAGCAAAGGGUAUUGAGGUGGACAGAGCAAAGAUUCAGAUGAUUGAGAAAUUACCGCCACCAACAUCAUUGAAAGGUGUUCGUAGAUUCCUUGGGCAUGCCAGGUUCUACAGAAGGUUCAUAAAGGAUUUUUCAAAAAUUACUAAAAUAUUAUGCUGUUUGUUGAUGAAAAAAUCCACAUUUGAGUUCACAGAUGAGUGUUCGAUGGCUUUUAAUACCUUUAAAGAGAAAUUGAUUUCAGCACCCGUGAUCAUCACACCGGAUUGGAACCUGCCAUUUGAAUUAAUGCACGACGCCAGUGAUUUUGCUGUUGAUGCCGUAUUGGGACAACGAAGAAAUAAGAUAUUUCAUGUAAUUUGCUAUGCAAGUAAGACCUUGAACGACGCUCAAUUAAACUAUGCCACUACAGAGAAAGAGUUCCUUGCAGUAGUCUACGCCUUUGACGAAUUUCGAUCAUAUCUUGUGGGGUCAAAGGUCAUCGUUUACACAGAUUAUACAGCCAAAGAAGGAUGCCAAGCCCCGUCUCAUUCUUUGGAGACUGCUGCUUCAAGAGUUCGAUCUGAAAAUCAGGGAUAAGAAGGGCAGUGAAAAUGUGGUAGCAAACUACUUGUCUCGACUCGAGACCACAGAGCAGAUAGAGACCGAGGAAAUCAAUGAAGUCUUUCCAAAUGAGCAGAUUUUCGAUUUGGGGAAGGCAUCCUAGUAUGCUGACAUAGUUAACUACUUAACCAGGUCUAUCAUUCCGCCAGAUUACUCUAAUCACCGAAGAAGAAAAUUUUCGCUGAGUUGAAGUAUUAUUUUUGGGAGGAUCCUAUUCUUUACAGAAGAGGAGCUGAUCAAAUCGUUUAUCGUUGCGUACUUAAGGAAGAAAUACCCUUAAUACUAGAACAUUAUCAUUCAUCUACAUACGCAGGACAUUUUGGUACUUCAAAAACAGCAGCGAAGAUCCUUCAAUCAGGUUUUUACUGGCCUACGUUGUUUAAGGAUGCCUUUGAAUUCGUGAAAAGGUGUGACCGAUGUCAACGCACCGGUAAUAUAUCUAGGAGAAACGAAAUGCCUUUAAACAGUAUCCUGGAGGUGGAACUAUUCGACGUCUGGGGGAUCGACUUCAUGGGGCUAUUUUUCCCAUCAUUCUCUAAUCAAUACAUAUUGGUGGCUGUGGAUUACGUAUCGAAGUGGGUAGAAGCCAUUGCAUUACCUACCAAUGAUGGGAAGGUGGUGAUUGAUUUUCUAAAGAAAAAUAUUUUCACCCGCUUUGGCACACCGAGAGCUAUAAUCAGUGACGGGGGCAAACAUUUCUGCAAUCGCCAAUUUGAACAGUUCUUGACUAAAUACGGGGUUAAACAUCGUGUAGCCACUGCAUAUCAUCCACAAACCUGCGAACAGGUUGAAGUGUCCAAUAAGCAAUUAGAGCGAAUACUUGAAGUCACAGUAAGCUCUUCACGAAAAGAUUAGUCUAAGAAGCUGGACGACGCCUUGUGGGCCUAUAGGACUGCAUUCAAGACUCCAAUAGGGAUGUCACCAUAUCGACUGGUUUUCGAGAAGGCAUGUCACUUACCUCUCGAGAUAGAACACCAUGCUUAUUGGGCAAUGAAAAAAUUGAAUUUGGACUUGAAGGCUGCGGGUGAAAAUUGUUUAUUACAACUUAAUGAGCUAGAUGAGCUCAUAAUGGAGGCCUACGAAAAUUCAAGACUCUAUAAAGAACGCACCAAGAAGUGGCAUGAUAUGCAUAUUCAAAGGCGUUAAUUUAAAGUGGGGCAAAAAGUGUUACUCUACAACUCUAGGUUUAAGCUGUUUCCAGGAAAGCUGCGAUCGAGAUGGUCUGGUCCCUAUACUAUUACAAAGGUAUUUCCACAUGGGGCAAUUGAGAUCACUCAUGACAGUAAGGGGACAUUUAAGGUCAAUGGACAGCGUUUGAAAUACUAUUGGAGCAGUGAUUUCUCAAAGAAAAAGUCUACCGUUCAUCUUAGACCACCAGAAUGACACAAUAUGGUAAAGUCAAGCUAUUGACUAUAACCUAGCGAUGGGUGGGAGGCAACCCACUGUAUCCUUUUAAAUUUAAUUUAUUUUGCUUUUUGCAUCAGAUUAGGAAUUUUUCAAUUUCAUUUUCAAAUUUUUUUUUUAAAUUAGGUCAUUGAUCGUCCAUAUAUGUUAAAAAAGUCCAAGCACUGUCCACAUGAGUCCCUGAGCAUCAUACACGAGUUCGAGUUUAUUGGAGUUGUUUUUGGUAAUUGGGGGUGUAAUUCACGCAUUUCGAGGCAAAAGUUUAUUUUCAAAAUUUCAAAUGUCAAUGCUUAAUUGUGAAUUUCAAAAAUUCGGUUUCGGGCACUAAGUUUAUGGUCUAUGCAUACCCCAAAAUGUUUAGAAAUGUAUCUUUGAAAAAUUUUGGGUCAUUGAGAAGUCAGGGCGACUACUAAAUUGAAAACCAAAUUUUGGAGUGCAAUUUAAUCAAACUUGUGAUUUUGGGGGAAUUGAAUAUAUUUUCAAAGUUUUUAUUUUUAAAUUCGCUUUUUUUUAGCAUGGUAAAAAAAAAUGGUUCAUGUGGUCGCACAGUUUUUUAGCAUGGUAAAAAAAAAAUGGUUUAUGCGGUCAUACCGUGCGACCGCACAAACAGAGGUUGGGAUUCAAGUGGCCAAAGCCACUUGAACCAUGCGAACACACGGCUUAAAGCCAUGUGGCCGCAUGGCAGAAUCAGGCGUGGUUUUUUAACCCACGCCCGGUUCCUUCUUACCCAUUCAAAUUUUCCCCCAAUUCUCUCACGACCACAAGCAUUCUAGGGCACGAUUUCUACACACGGCCGAGUUCGAAUCACAUACACUACACACAAAUAUCAUUUUUGAAGUGUAAUAUCAUCUAAAGUAAAUCAUUUUUGAACUCAAAUCAACCCCUACAAGUACAAGGUAAUGUUUCUUAAAUCCCUCUCGGUUCCGUCAUUAGGGUAAGUCACGUUUGAAAUUUCAAUUUUGAGGAAUUGAGGGAGAUUGGGCUAGUUCAUGUAUGUGUGGAUUUGAUGUGAUUGUGUUGUGAGGACUAUGGGAUGAUUUGAAACUUCAAUUCACUAUAUUGCUAAUACAUUCACAUUAUGCAUGCUAUAUGUUUGAUGAAAUGCCAUAGUAAAUAUUCUAUGUUUCAUGGUGCUUCUUGCAUUGCAUGUGAUUGGUGGAUGAAUUAAAAUACAUAUGGUGAUGCAUUCCUAUGUACAUUAACUUGAAAGGCACUUAUCUCAUAGUAGUAGAUGCUAGAUUGUUAAAUGUGUGUCAUUUUGGCAUUAAUUAGACUCCAAUUGUUGAAAUUCUAGAGAUCCCAUACAAUGGCAUGCUACAUGUUUGAUCAAUUGUCAAUGUGAAAUGAGUUAUGCAUUUCGGUGAAUUUGCGCAUUGGAUAUACAAACUGGGAUGUGAAUAACGUUGAUGCUCUCUCUGCUUGUUAAAGUGACGAGGUAUAACAGUUGAGACGUUCGUGAAUAUGGUUGCAAUAUGUACUAUUUAGCUAGUGCUUGUUUAGCCACUCAAUAAAUUCCUUACACUACACAGUAUACAUGCUAUGCAUUCACAUGAGUGAUAUAUGAAUGAGAGUGGCGUAAUGUGAUGAAUUCCCAUAACACAUGAAUUGGAAAUUACAAGAACCAAACUUGACCAUACGUAGGCAACACUUGUAGGCACAACAUGACUAGGUCACGUCACGGCACCUCACUUCACCCACUUUGCACCGUAUUUUGCCAACCUAAACGACAUCCAUUUGACUUGAAUUUUGGAUAUGUGCUAAGAUAGUAUGGACACUUUCGUACGCCUGGAGAUCAUUCUGGAAAAUUUCAAUUUUCUAGGUAAUUCCAUGCACUGAAAGUUCUAGUUUGGUCAUGGGUUACUUCCAUCAAAGUGUAUGUUUUGAGCUAAUUUUUGUUGGUGUUUCACAUUCCUUUGAUACUACCACUACCUUGGAACAUGUUUCAUGCAUUUUACACAUCAACGUCAUGUACAUGUAUUUUGAAGCAAGUUUGGGAAAUUUGUGCAAUGCAUACUUUAUUUUCUCACUUCAUGCCUAUUCUUUUCACAUCAAACUUAAUGAGUGUAGUUUUACAAACUUUGUAGAAUGCCUCCUAAGAGGACUUUGCACGGGAAAGAAAAAGUAAGCUCCUCCUCCGGGACAGCCCGUACUCGAGAGCUUGCAGGGAAAGUUCAGUGAUUCUUAAAUGCAGAAACCACAGCGCGAUAUGAGAAUAUCAUACGCCAUUGGACUAUACACGCUGAAAGACCGGUUAAGCUUGAUGAUUUCCUAGCUUUUGAGUUGGUCAACUUAGUUCAGAUUUGUGGGUGGCACAAAUUGGUGGAGCGACCACAUCCAAUCUAUGAGGAUCUAUGCCGAGAGUUCUUCGCCAACUUCAACAGUGAAAUUGACACGCCAGGUUCCGAGCAUUUCCAUCAGACUUGGGUGUGAGGGAAGUGGAUUAUGUUCUCUCCUGAGGUCAUUCAUGAUUACUACCAGCUCACCGUGGAGAACGUGAUCCUUAUCCCAGUUGAAUUUAACUGGAAUGAAAUGGCUGAGGUUUUGAUGGGGCGGGAAAAUGCAUGGCCCCUUGCAGCUACUAAGUGGUAUCAGAUCGAGCUUACCACAUCCACAUCCAUAGCCAUUCUCUGGCUUUUCAUGUGCCACAAUAUCGAACCCAUAUCACACAGGACUACAUUUUCUGAUCAGACAGUAGGGUUCAUCCACCACUUGGUUCGGGGUAACAAGAUAGAUCUCGCCACUCUUAUAUACAAUCAACUAUACACAUUGGGAACUUGGAGAGAUCGUCGCUCCACUCUGAUAUUCCCGAGCCUCAUUAGUGGCAUAUGUAGGGCUACGGGUGUUGCACUCCUAUCUGAGGAGGUACCUGAAAAACCCAGCCCCAUGAUCAAACGUACUACAUUUGAAGCUCAAGCAAGAGCUCGGGUUAAACAUAGAGAAGAACAAGAAAAUGAGCACCGUAGACGGUAGGCAAAGCAAGGCCCAGUCUCUGCAGAUCAGGAACUCCCACAGGAUCCAGCACCACAUGCUAACGUGGAUACUCAAUUGCAGAGAUGGAUAUUCUCCACCACCAUGGGAAUCAGCUGAGACCUCCAUAGUUUCCUUCAGGAUUUCGACGCCAUGAGGACUGAGUUGCAGGGUUUACAAAGAGACAAUCACCUUACACUAAAUUACAUUAGAGAUACUUGGGACGACACCACAAUCAUGCGACGAGAGAUUGAUACCAUGAAUGGACGACUAAACAUGUAUGUGGGCCGGGUGGACGGAAUCCAGAUGCUAGUAAAUGAAACAUGGGAGAACAUGAGAGCCAUCCAGGUCAAGCAGGCAUAGCAGUCCGCCUUGAUGAAGGAGCUGAAUGGGAUGCUGCGACAGCUCCUUAGACGACACCCUCCACCGUCAGAUGGUGGUACAUCAGGACUCAUUUUCUCGCCACCUCAUCCUUUUUGAUCCAGAGAAGUACUGUUCACCCCAUUUUGAUUUUUCUUCUUCAUUUUGUCCUUAAAAUUAUGUUUUUAAUAUUUCGUUACUCUUACAUUGAGGACAAUAUAUUAACUAAGUUUGGGGGUGACAUAAUUUUAAAUCUUUAUCUGUGUUCAUCAGUAUCUGUAUUCCAUUAUUGCAUAAAGUAGGCAUGAUGAGUGUUAAAAAAAAUUCUUUGCAUUUUAUUUAGUUUGUUUUAAUUCUUUUCAUGCAUACUUGUGUGGGUUUGAUAGCCUUGCUAGCUAUGAUGUAAUUAUUGGACUUGUUUAAACUGCAAAACUUUGGAUCUGGUGUUAACUAGACUAACUGAUACUUGUUGAUGCAACACUUGACAUUAUCUAUGCACGCUAUUCAUACUUGACAUGUUAGGUGAGUGACUGGAUUUUGAGUAGAAAAUAGGAAAAGAACGAUAACUCUCUAUUGAAAUAACCCGUAAACUACCUUAAGACAGUUUGGUAAUGAUUGAGCUAUUAUAGGGUAGCAUUGAGAUAAGCAGGGGCUCCGUGCAUGAAUUUUAUUGUGUGGACUGCCUAGACCAGUGGGGGUGAAGAGUAGGUGAAAAUCUUAAAUUGGGGGUUGGUUUUAGAAACUAAAUGUCUAAAAAAAAACAAAAGGCAUAAAAUUAAUAUGUGAGAAUAAGACACUUCUUUUCAUACCUUUAUGACUCGAGCAAAUAAGCCUAUAAGGAUAUUUCAAAAUCUGGUGCCCUAAGGUCAAUUGGCCUGGGAGUCACCGGCUCAAAGCUCGAUACAUGGGUCAUAUAGAAAGCAAGAGAGAAAGAUGUUAAUAAAAGGUCAUCUAAUCAAGCCUUUAUAACUCGAGUGAAUAAACCUGCAAGGGUUGGUGUCCUAAAGCCAACUGGUUUGGGAGCCACCGGCCCAAAGCUCGUUAUAUGGGUUAUAUAGAAAGCAAAUGAGAAGAUGAUAAUAAUAAAAAAAUCAGAAAAAUCAGAGAAAAGUGAGAGAAACAAAAGAGAGACAAUAACAUGAAGAAAAGCCCUUGGACAUUUGGUUGAAAAAACUAUACUUUGAGACGAGGCAAGUAACCUAGUUUAAUCUUGAGUGUCGAAGCAAUCAAACUUAGGAGAGCUUUCACUUGUUAACAUGUAAACUUGUGAUAGUGAGAUUAAUCCAAACUACGAGAGGGUGAGAGCUACAGCUAAGUAAACUCCUAAUUUUAAAACACAACCCCGGGAAAAUUGAGUGAAAAGAAUAAGUUUGGGGGGUUGUGUAUCUCUCGAGCGAGUAAGGAUACAUUUGACCACUUGGGGUCAGGACUCAAACUCAUCAUGACCUGAUAUGUUGGCAUGAAUUCACACACACAUGUCAAAUAUGCAUUUAACAGGUAAAGGUUGAUGUCAUUUUUGCACUGAUAAAUUUUCAUAAAGUCAAAUACUUAGUCCAAUCCUGAGCCACAGCAGGGUAUUAAGCCAUGUUUGUUAAGAAUUAAGUCACUAUCUUGUUUGAUGACACACAAUAGUUCAAGUUUGGGGGGAUUUAAUAGGUGUGUUUUUGCACACUUAUUUAGGUCACAAACAUGACUUAAUUACGAGUAAAAUGAUUGAAUUGUGACUUAGUCUCGUUACAUUUGUGAAUUGUAGGGAACACCGAUGAACAUGGUGAAAUUCAGCAGAAAAGAUGUGAAAAAGGACUAAAAUGAUGCAAAGUGAAAGUUCAGGGACCAAGGUGAAAUUAUCCAAAAGUUGACCCGAUGAACAAAUCAAGAAAUUGAUUAAGCCAAAUACCAAUUGAUGAUAUCUUGGGAUGAUUAAAUGGAAAGAAUGAAGAAAAUAUGCCAAGAAGUGAAAGAUUUAAGUAGAGGGACCAAAUUGGAGAAAAUGAAAGUUAGAGUCUACCAUGCGUCCGCAUGGUAGAACUCUCAUGUGGUUGCACAAAUGUGUGCAGAAAAUUAUGGAGACAGCAUAGCAUAACCAUGCGGCCGCACGGAUUAAAGCCAUGCGGUCGCAUGGUAGGUUUCCGACGCGAAAAUUUUACUUUCCUUGUACGAUUAAAACUCUUUUGGUAACAAAAUUUUCACGCAAUAUAAAUACCAAAAGACAUCCAGAACGAAGGGGACGCUGAUUUUGCAAGAAAAAAGGGAGAUUUUGAAGGAGAAAACGAAGACAGAACAAGAGGAAAACAUUGCGCCAAUUGAAGAAUUGAUUGAAACUAAAUUCGGGUGAUGACGUUUCUUCAACUAUUUUGUAUUUUCUUCUUUUUAGUAUGUUAGGCUAGAUUUUUCGUGUACUAGGAGAUCGAUGAACCUUGUAAUACAAGUUUUGAUUUCUGAUUUGGAGAUUUGACAUAUUUAAACACAUGUUCCGAAAUUGAAUGAUUUAUACGUUUUUAUUUCCAUAUUAUUAUUGUGCACGUAAUUAUAUGAUUUUGGUGGCCUAUUUUAUGCAUUCGAGAGAAGAAAAAUAGGCUUGAUAUAGUAUAAAUCAUCAUAGGGUCCGAUAGAGGAUAGAAAUAUACCUCUAUGCCUCGUGUGAAUUGUUGAAUAUUCAUGAAAUCAUAAUGCAUUCCCGUAUGUUAGUAUUCCUUAUAGAGAUAUAGUCAAAUCACAUAUUGGGGUAGGUUUGACAUUACUGGAGAGAGAUUGCUUUAGUAUGGCUUCAAUUACCUCUUCUCCUUCAAUCAACUUGAAAGUCACUGACCUCUUUUCCUCGUCUAUGGCUUCAAUUACGUCUUCUGCUAUUUGCGGUUUCCCAUCUACAGUUAUUCAAAUUAUUGUAAACUUAAUACAAAAGAAAGUUUUGAAUCCAUAGUUUUCGAAUCUUGAUUGCACAUACGAUGUAACUUACAUGUGAAACUUGUUGAUUUGUCAUUGAAAACCUUGUUGGAAAAGUGUUUUUCAAAAAUCAAUAAACAUGUGUGGAAUGGAAUGAACAAAACAAAAUGGAAACCCAAAUUUUGAUCCAUGUGACCGCAUAGACCAUGGCCAUCACUCGAGAAUUUGGGGAUGGUCGCAAGGUAAACCAUGCGACUGCAUGGCUUUAAACCAUGCGGUCGCAUGGUACAUUUAAAGUGACUGUUGGAGACCAUUUUUAGUUAGUUUUUUGGUGGCUUUUAGAGGGAAUCUUGCAUCCCUUCAUGACUUUUGGCACCAAUUCGUGAGGUAUUGAUUGACUUCUAUAAAUAGGUGUUGAAGGAUCAAUACAUAUUAUUGAAAAAUUAUAUGAGAAACUGAAUUUACAUUCCACAAGAAAACAUUCUUUCUAUUUUCAUAUUCAAGCAAUUCCCUCUUGUGUUCUUCAAGCACAGGUAGAAAACCAUUUAUGCUUUAGUAUGUUUCUGCAACAAGGUUUGAUCAAUCUUACAGACUAUUUUUCGUAAAACCCUUGAAGCAUCUCGUAGAAUCUGGAGAGGGGGCAAAUAUCGUUCGAGGACAGCGAGAUUAUUUUCGUAUUUGAGCCUUUGUAUUGGUUUGAUCUUCUUGUUCAUCUUUUAUCUUCUCGAAUUACUAUUUUUUGGUUUCUUCUCCAACCCCAGUGUUGAUUAAUUUUCCAACAAUCUCGAACGAUAAUUUGUGAUGGAGAACGAAACCGCUUCGGCAAUGAUCAAGUUGAUGGAUCAAGAUCGUGUUCGUGUGGAUCGUUUGAUGGCACUAAUUGCACGGGAAGGUUCGACUUGAAGAAAGACAUGCUUUCACUCGAUAAUGGAAGAUAAUCAGUCCAGAUUUAUGGUUUGGGCUUCGUAAUAAUCAUUUUGCCUUAUCCAAAUUCAGUAAGUCAAAAUUGUGUUUCGAUAUCACGCAUACAUGGGAUUUAUGUUCUCGAAAAUUAUAAUGUGCAACCCAUAUGCUUGACAUUCUGGGAAUUUAUGCAGGUACAUAAAUUCGCAAAUUUAUAAUUGGUUUUAUGUACUCAUGAUUAUGGCAUAUGUUAUAUUGUAUGUUCUGGUUGCCUGAUGAAUUCGCAAAUUGUAAUAAUAAAAUUAAAGUUAACUUUUUCUCCAUAUCAUGAUGUGCAUUACAGAACUUUGUUUUCUUAAAUAUGAUAAGGCAUAGAAAUUUUCGUUUACAUCCAUGAAAAGGUGUGACCCUUUUGGAAUUGCAUGCACUUAUCUAUCUUCAUCUGUGAAAAGGCAUGAGUACUGCCAUACAUGUAAAGUGGUGUCGUAAAUUAAAUUAAAUGUGCUUUGAUAAUUUUAAUUCACAGACAAUGUUUCUGCAUUUAUUAUUUAAGGCAAAAGAUUUCUUAGCAGUUCAUAAAUUUCUGAAAUGAUGAUCAUGAAUUAUCUGUCGUGAUGUAUGAAACGGCAUGUGGUUAUCCGUCUUCAAAGGAAAUGGAAGGAAUUGAUUAAUUACUGUAAUCAAGCAUGAUCAAAGAUACAUAAUAUACGAACUCUUUGUUAGCAAUGUGUGAAAAGAAAGAGGAAAUGCAUGUGAUUAUUAUAAGUAUCUAUUUGAAAAAUGAUUUGUAAAGUCUGUUUGCACAGUUCUAUUUGCUGACUUUGAUAAUGCUUAUAUGUUCCAUUUAAAUUAUCUUCUCCAUUGAAUGUUUGUUUGGUCAAAUGGAGGAACUGCAAUGUGUGGGAAAUAUCUGAUAAGCAUUAUAUGGAUUGAUAUAAUUUAAUAAUUGUUGAAUAAUGGCACUAUGUAUGGCUGCCAACAUCUUCUCAUAAUUAGUCAAAAACAUGAAAGUGGCUGAUUUUUAGACAAAUACAUGUGGUCCAGUUUAUUAAAUUGUGACCUUUCAUUUUAAAUUAUAAACCAAUUGUGGAAACGGGAUCUAUUUGACAUGGAAAUAUUUGAUUUCUAAUGCAUAUACUGAUCUUUGCAUAAACCUGUUGAUAUUCCAUGAACAUACUUGAAAGUCAGAUUGCAUUUGUAUUUCCAAUCUAAUUGAAUUGGAGUAUGUACAGAAUUUAAAUUGGCAACUGUUGAAGUUUGAUUUCUUAAAUUUGGUACCGAAAUGAUGUGAUUCCAUUAAAGGCCAAGAUCCUGAAUUGUUGUUGCCAUGAAUGGUAUUAUACAUGAAAGUGGGUUCAUGGUUACGGGCACAUGAUAGGCUUGAUAACCGUAUGGUGAACUGGCCAAGUCAUCAAUUCCAUUUUAAUGAUGGCUGUCAUUUAAAUAGCGUCUUUUCAUGUUGCAUGCAUAAUGGAGAUUUAGUAAAUUCCAUUAUGCAAAUAAAUGAAAUUGCUUGGCAUGAAAUAGUUUCUGUUUGCAUUAUUUUGGUUGUCAGUUCCUUUGGGAUUGAAAGCCAUUAGAGAAUUGAAUUGUACCGUCUAUCAAAACCCGUUAAAUGGUGUGCAUUAAUGAGGUACCUGUUUGCACAAAAGUUAUGUAUAUGUAUAUUUGAAUUGAUGGUGCUCACUUGAGGAUGCUUGUUUUGGUGUCCAUCAUAUGGUUAAAUGUGCAAUAUUUUGAUAAGAAAUUAUUUUAAAGUGGAAAUUGCUUAUCCAAUUAUUGGGAAUGGUUCAUAUGCAAAAGAUAGUAGUAUUGAAAAAUGCCAACUAUUUGUUGAUUGACUUCAUGUCUUGACUAACUUGGGUUAAUGUCGAUAGACUCAUUUAAUCCUAUGGUAUUAAUGAGAUGAUUUUAUGCCAAUUAUAUUUGCAUAAAAGCAUGACAAGUUGUGAUUUGUUCUAGUGGAAAGUACUCACGAAAUUAUUAAGACAUGAAAAUAUUUUAUAAAGCACAAAUUGUGUCUAUAGUUGGCGGUGGUGCUAAAUAUCCUUUUCAUUCAAAUCUGGAAAAGCUUGAAUGUGGUGAUUUAGUUGGUUAAAUUUUCAUAUUUAGUAGAAUUGAUAGCUUCGACUAAUUUGCCUAAAUUAAUUCUAUGCAAUUAAGUGAGAUUGCAAAUGAGUACGACAAAAUGUGAUUUUGUCCAAAUAUGAAUAAGGUGAAUAUGUAACUUAUCAUUUGAGGUGAUAUGAUGCUAUCUUGUGAAGUUCAUGAAAGUGAUAAAUUGCAAAUGAUUGGAGAUUAAUACUCUUAGUCUCACUCGUUGUUGAAUUGGACUUUAAUCACGGAACCAAUUGAGUUGGUUUGUGCUUGAAAAGCAUUAACAGUCUACGAGAUGGCCAUGAUCAAAUUGUAUGAUCAAAUCAAACAUAAUAGAAUGAAGCACAUUGACUUAACAAUCAUUAUCUGAAAUACUUAAACUUUCACAGGUAUUAUCAAAGUGAUAAAUGAAUUGAACUAUGAAAAGAGUUUAUGAACUCUAAGUUCAAGUAUAAUUUCAAUGUGGGGGCUGUUAUGUUGAUAAGCUCUAAAAUAACCCAAAAUAUGGGGGUUUAUAUUAAAUGCUAGUGAACUUAUAUGAGAAAUUAAAAAAUUUGCGAAUACAAUACUAAUAUAUUGCAUAAGAAUUCUAAUUGAAGAAUUGUGGGGGUAACUUAAUAUAAAAGUUAAAGUUCCUUAAACCUUUUAAUCAUAGACAGACAUCUAUAAAAGGAGAAAGGUUGAGAAGCCUUUAUACAUAUAAUUAUAAGGAUGUGAUACGCUGAGUCUAAGUGGAAGAAUUGGGUAAAAGCCGGUCAUGGCGCUUACAAAACCAAUGAAAUAUUUAAAAAACAUUCAUUGAAGAUCAUUGUAAUAUUUCAAUGAUGAAAAUGGAAUACCCAAGUACGAAAUCCACAAAAUUUUUAAAGUGAUUGAUUAGUGUAAUGGUUGAUAAAAAUCUUCCAACCUUGUUUUGGAAAAUAUAUAAAGCUUUAAAUAUAGCAAGUGAGAAGUUUGUGGCUUCAUAAAAAGAGAAUUCUUGGUGAUGACAAGUUGUACCUAUCAAAUGAAUCGAUCGUUGGCUAGCUAUAAUUUGACAAGAUACUAAGUCACACUAAAUGAAAUGUAAAGACGUAUAAGCCUUAGAGGUGACGUCACUAUGAAAUUAUUAUAUAUAGAAUAAUUUUCGAAGAGAAUUUUGCGGAUCCUUUAACUAGACUACUAAAUAAAAAUUUUUAGUAGCAUCUAAUCCGAGUAGAAUGGGGUUGAAACUCCUAAACUAAAAAUGUCCACCAAUGAUGGCAACCCUACCUAUCAUUUCUCAAAAGGUAAUAUAUGGGUUCAAAGGGUAACAACAAAUGUGGAUGAUUGCAGCAUUAUUAAAAUCCGCGAUAACCCUAUCCUAAUUAAAAUAAUGCUGGUUUUUAUUGAAGUGAGGGUUGAGCAUUAAAGCUCUUAAUGAAGUUCAGUACUAAAACACAAGUACCUCUAAAAGUAACAAAAGUACUAGAAGAACUUUACCUAAGCAAACUUUUAGGUGCUACCGCCUCAAUUGAGAGUUGCAGUUUCUCUCUUAAAAGUUUGUUGAAUAUGAUGAGCGUAAGGUUAUAAUAGCACUAAGUGAGUUAUGAGGAACUUGAGAACACGUGGUACUUGUGUGUGUGUUCGAACCGAUAUUGUCACUUGGAACAAUUGGUUCAAAACUUCAUGCUACCUUUUGAUUCUGACUUUACUUUGAUUGGAUUGCACUAUGAUUAGAGUCAAAUCGAAAGAUAUUUAAACCUUACGCAUGAGUAUUGUAUACUUUGAAUAUGAGAAUUUAUUAAAAUUUUGAACAAGUGGGGGAUUGUUGGAAAUAUAUUGUUCAAAAAUCAAUAAACAUGUGUAGAAUGGAAUGAACAAAACAAAAUGGAGACCCAAAUUUUGGUCCAUCCGACCACAUAGACCAUUUGGCCAUACGGUCGCAUGGCCAUCACCCGAGAAUUUGGGGAUGGUCGCAGGGUACAUUUAAAGUGACCGUUGGAGGCCAUUUUUAGUUAGUUUUUUGGUGGCUUUUAGAGGGAAUCUUGCAUCUCUUCAUGACUUUUGGCACCAAUUCGUGAGGUAUUGAUUGACAUCUAUAAAUAGGUGUUGAAGGAUCAAUACAUAUUAUUGAAAAAUCAUAUGAGAAAUUGAUUUUACAUUCCACAAGAAAACAUUCUUUCUAUUUCUAUAUUCAAGCAAUUCCCUCUUGUGUUCUUCAAGUUCGGGUAGAAAACUAUUUAUGCUUUAGUGUUUUUCUGCAACAAGGCUUGAUCAAUCCUACGAACCAUUUGCCGUAUAACCCUUGAAGCAUCUCGUAGAAUCCGAAGAUGGGGCAAAUAUCGUUCGAAGACAGCGAGAUUAUUUUCGUGUUUGAGCCUUCAUAUUGGUUUGAUCUUCUUGUUCAUCUUUCAUUUUCUCGAAUUACUAUUUUUUGGUUUCUUCUCUAACCCCGGUAUUAUUUUCAACAAACCUUUAUUCUAUUAUUUUCACCACAUAAGUGCUUUGCUAAACAAAUAUUAUUUAGGAAAUAAUUGGUUCAAAUUGAGACAAAUACCAGCCUAUAUUGUCUUUCACAACAUGAUCCAGAUAUGAGUUUUACUUUUAAUGUUCAAUAUAAUAUUGGGAAAAAAAUCUUAAAUUUAAGUUUCAUGGCACUAAAAAUGACCCAGAUGUCAACCUUCGAUGAGAAAAAAAUAUGACAAUAUUUAUCCGUACAGUAGAAAAAAGAGGGUUGAGUGACUCAUUUUUCUUUUGUUUCUGGAGUUAUAUGUGCGAUAAUUAUUAUUAUUUAACACUGUAUGCUUACUAUGAGUGUACUUCUAGGUGUAGACAGAGCCUACAGAUCUCCAUUCUCCUUGAUGCAAAUCACAUCCUUGAAUAGUAGUAGGGCUGAUUUUGGGUAUUUGGUGUGGUGUGUACCUAAAAAGAUCAUGAAAUACAUCUCCUCCAGCCCUCAUUUCUAUUUGGGCAGUGAGUUUACCCUUAAGACCCAUUUUUUCAUUCGUGAAAAGCUUAAUGAACGUUUUGGGAAGAACAAGUUCAAGUACUGUGUGAAUAGCAUUCAGAACUCUCUAAUCUAUUUAUAACUGUGUUGUGAAGAUGUAGAUCUGUGCACGUUGCCAUUGUUCAAUUAUUAUCUAUAACUGCGAUUUUUACAAUUUUACAAUGGUCAAUCAUUAUGUGUUAUCAAUGAAAAAUAAAAUAAGUUUCACAGAAUAAGAAAAAGCACUGUUUAAUAUCAUGUCAAGAUUAAGAUGAGGAUCAACAUAUAUGCAAUCCUUUAUACUAAAGAUACAACUUUUUGAGCUUAUUAAAUGAAAUUUCAUAUCUAAGCUCAACUACUCAACUGCAGUAUAUUGACUUCUUUUAUGGUUGGAAGCCAGCACCGUGUCAUAGGAACUCUUCACGAAUUUCUAGUUAUUGAGAAGAUACUUAGUCCGUACAUCAUUGACUCUAGGAAGAAAUUUAUAGUCCCUUUUGGACUUUGAUCACGAUUAGAAAGAGAGAGUAAAUGGCAACUAGAAUUAAUAUUUUUGUGUUGCUAAAAUCUAGAAUUUCAAAAGAAAGUAUAGCAAAAAUAAAAUUUUAAACAUUAUUGUGAUCAUGCUGUAAUAGAUAAAAACAACAAUCGUAAAUACAAACUAACAAGUAGACGUGAUGAAAGGUGAAAAUCAAAUAAUCCAUGUUGUGCACUCUUAAAUAAACUCUUUUUCAUGAAAGUGAUAUUAUUCUAGUUAAAUGAGUGAAAUAAAAAAGAGUCGCUUAAACUUAAAGGAAAGAGCAAUCUAAGUUUAUUAUUUUUUAACUAGAUAAUAUUCAUUUAAAAAGUAGAUUACAUUAUGAUUAAAAAAAUGAAAAAAAAAAAAAAGUAGGUUACAAUAUGGCAAUCAAAAGAUAGUUUCGUACACACCGUCGCAUAUCCUCCUAAUUAUUAUCCAUUUAAAGAAUUCACUUGAAUGUAAUUUAGGUCUUAAUAUUUAAUAGUAGGCAAAGACUAAACUACUCUCAACUAUCUGCAUUACUUUCUAUUAAUUAAAACAAUUAUUUAGAAAGUAGAUUAUGAUAUAUAUCAACCGAAAUUUCGUACACACAGUAGCUCAAAUAUCAUCAAUCAAUUACUAUAUAUCUCCAAAUAAUUCAUGUGAAUGUAAUUUAGUUCUUAAUAGCUAUUAACAAUAAAAGUUCACCUUGUGGAAAUUGGAAAUGUUGUUGGAUCAUCAUAAUGAUCAAUUAAUUAAUAUAUAAAUAAUCUACAAUUUAAGAGGAAGGAUUGAGGAGAAAUUUUUGAGUGACAAAAUACCCUCAUUGGUUUUGUAUAAUCCUCUUUAUCCUUCAAUUAUUAUUAGAAUUUAAAUAACUUUAUAACAUAUACUAUUCAAUAUUAUUGAAAUUACAAUCAUUACUUUCAUUUCCCUUUCAUUUAGAAAAUUGAUUGUUUUUAAAGCACGGUAAGUUGAUGUGUUUCAUCUUCCAUAAUUUAUUCAAAGCAUAUCCAGACGAUUAAACAAAAGCACCAGAUUUAUUUCUUUUUAGCUCUAUUUUUGCAUAAUUUCUACAAAAUAUAAAUCAACCCUUAAAUUUUUUAUUUUUUUAUUUUUUUUGAUUUCAACAAAUAGAAUAUACGGAGUCUAACAAUGUUUGACCAUUAGUAUUUUAUGUUUGUAGAGUUUUGAUAGUGGACAAUUCUCAUGAGAAAGGUAUCAUAUUGUCCAAGUUUAUUUGAUUCCAAAUUUAGAUUUUCAACUUUUUCAUAAAUGUUUAAACAAUUUUCUUGGCUCGAUAAAAGAUAGUAGAGGCAUAUAUAUAAUCAAAAUCCAAAAAUCUUUCAACUUGUAUAUUAUUUUGAUAGUAAUCUAUAAAUUGCAUUGAAGUUGUUCUUAUGACAUCGACUACACUAGCGUUGGCGUAAUUCAUAAACCGAUACUUUUUUGCGUUAAUUAAUUAGGGUACGCCUCAAACAUGAACACAUGUUCACAAUAAAUGUCACAAAAAUAACAUUAUUGUUUCAUCAUUGUGAAAUGGACGGAAUUGUAGGUGUCAGAUAUUCCAUCAAAAUGAACGUAUCUCACUCCACCAUUUUAAUAAAAUAUUCAAAUUUUACUAUUCAACAUUUUUAUUUCAAAUAAUACUGCAAUAUUAAAGUAAAAAUAAAAUCUAAAAAAUAACCUCACUCCAAAUAAUUAACAUCAAAUUAGAUGGCGUCAAUUUCUCAACCAAACCGUCCAUAUCAUAGACCCACAAUUAUUGCUACCAAUCCCUAAUUCUCUGGUCAUUCAAUCACCUACAAAAUUUCUCUGGUCAUUCAAUCACCUACAAAAUUGCGUUCGACAAAUUUAUGCACUCUGUCUCCCAAGUUUCCGUAAUUCGGUCCCCGUCAUCCAUGAAGAAAGAAUUGUUGGUGAAGAAUGCACCCUCCAAGGGAGGAGGAGGAGUAGCCUAAUGAGGUGGAAUGAUGAAGUGCGUAAAGAAUUAAAGUUUAUGAUGAAAUGGAACCGUCACAAAACAAAAUAAUGUUUUUUUGAUUUCAUGAUAACUUCGGGUUGAUUCGAUUUUGGUGAAUUGUUAGUCUAAUUCGAUCGGAAUCGAGCCAAUGAAUAAAACUCAGCGCCUUUAGCCUUGACGCAAGGCCAAUUUUGGGCAAAAUCCAUCGUUUAGGCGUUUUUACUAUUUAUAAUAAUUUUUGUUUUUGCAAUAUCUUUUUUCAUAAAAUUCAAAUUUAUAUUCCGUUUGUUGGAGGAUGAUCCUGAUGAUAAGGAUUUUUCAUCUUAGUAGUUAUCUCAUAUUUUUCUGUUUUUGGAAAAAUAUAUUUUUAUUCUAUUUUUCGAAUUUUGCUAGAUUUUUUUAUAUUUAUGGCAUUGUAAGCCCUUUGAGGCGACAGUUCUUGAAUUCAAUAAAAUUUUCUUUGAGAGUUUUCUCAUUUUGUGAUUGUUAAUCUUCCCUAUAAUAUUCCGCUACAUCAUGAAAGCAGUCCAAGAAACACCACCAUCACCACGACCAAAAGAAGUUUCCAUCUAGGAAUCCCCUUUUUGGCAGAUGAAAUAAGCGAUGUAAUUCUCCUCAAUUUCCUCAAGAGUCAGAAAUUUCAAGGUCAAAGAAGCUAUGUCGAUUCUAAAAAGUGUUGUGGCUUGGACAAAAGAAUUCAUGUUGAUGAACUCUUGGAAGAAGAAACAUAUCGUGUGUUGUAAUACUACAGUCAUGUGAUUUCUUACCAUUAUGUUGUUUGUUCGAUGUAGGGAUCAAUGAUGACAAUCCCACGGCAACAAGUUAAGGAGUUGUGUUUAAAGGCAGUUAGUACAAUUCAAGUUGUGUAUCCUAAUGGAAGUCUAGCAUUGAAUUCUGAAGUAAAGGAAAAGGACAUGUUCUUUAUCUUAUGUUAUUUCCCAUUAUGCCAAAAUGCACCACAAACUAGCCAUUUUGAGUUCUUUGGCUUUUCCACGUCACCCUGCGAUAACAAGCCUCAAUUCUUUUUGGAGCAAACUCUAUUUCGCAAAUACUAAGAGGGACAGAACUUACAAAAGCUUUGGGACUGAGCGAUGAGAGGAUAAAGGAUAUCAUUGACUUUCAGUCGAAGUCUACAAUCUUUCCAUCAGCCACUGUUGCACCACCCGAGGUGAUUGUGGAGUGUAGGUGGAAGUGGGAAAGCCAUGUAUAUUUGAAUUCUCUCAUUUUCGAGAUAGUACUUGCACAUAAAUGAAUAACAUGUAUCAUCCAGAGUGCAAUAUCAAACUCGAGAGGGAAUGUAUCUCUUUUUAUUAAUGGUGAUUGUUCUAAUGAUAAGGAAUAUUUUCAUCAUUAUAAAGAUUACUGUGAGAAAUGGAGAGGAAGCAGGGCACUUAGGUUCCCCGAUACUGAAUUUCAGUAGCAACAUGGCGCCUAGACGCCUCGGAUUCAGCUAUAUAUAUCUGAUUUUUCCCCCUUCAAAGAUAGACCCAAUUUUUAGAGAGAAAAGAGAGAGAGCUUGGAUUGAAUUUAACAAGUAAGAGGUUGUUCUUCUUGAGUAUAAAUUCAAAGCUAUUUUUCUUUAAUGGGGAUUAACUUGAGGCUUGUUCAAGUAAUCCAAAUCCAUUGUUCAUCAUAUAUAUUGAAAAUCAUUUCUUCCCCAAUUUCUUAUCUUUCAAGUGGUUUGGGAUUUUUCACAUUGCAAUCUUAGGAGUGUCAUUUUCCCAACAAUUUGGUAUCAGAGUAUCUUCUUAAAUUAGGGUGGUUAAGUUCAAAUUUUUGGUGGGUUGGCUUGAACUUUGUUGUGCACACAAGGUGUUUGUGAAAAUUCCCAAGUGAACUUUGUUAGUUUAUUUCCGGUAAACAACUAGAUAAAUCAUGUCUACUAGAGGAACGGUGAAGAUUGAGAAGUAUGAGAUAGAGAAAUUCAAUGGGAAGAAUGAUUUCUCAUAUUGGAGAAUGCAAAUGAAAAAUUUGUUAAUUUAUCAAAAGUUGCACAAGGCAUUGGCAGGAAAGGAGAAGAAGCACAUAGAUAUGUCUGACGAGGAUUGGGAAGAGCUAGAUCUUGAGGCACGAGCGUCUAUCAUUCUAUGCCUUGAAAGAGAUGUUGCUUUCUUGGUUGAUGGUGAGGAAACGGCGGCAGAGGUGUGGACAAAGUUGGAGGCGAACUUCAUGACGAAGACUCUAACAAAUCGGAUCUACUUGAAGUCCAAAUUGUAUACUUGCAAGAUGGAUGAAGGUACACCAAUCCGAGAGUACGUCAACAAGUUUGAUAGGUGUAUAUCGGGCUUGAAGGAUAUUGAUGUGAAAGUUGAUGAUGAGGAUCAAGCACUUCUACUAUGUCUUUCAUUGCUAAAGUCUUACGAGAACCUAGUACAAACAUUGAUGCUUGUGGGUGAUAAACUUGUGAUGGAGGACACUAGAACGUCACUUCUAGUGGAUGAUUUUCGAAAGAUUGCAACUAGUGGCAUGUCUACCAUUGGUAACAAGGAGCAAGCUCAAGGAUUGUUUGUAAGAGGAAGAAACAAUGUACGACCAAAAGGCAAGGGAGAAAAAUCUAGAUCGAGUUCUAGACCUCUUGCGGAAAGGCCUUGUUUCAAAUAUGGCGAGCUUGGGCAUUUCAAGGCGAAUUAUACAAAUAAAAGGAGUCGGAAGAAGAACAAUAAGAACAACAACAACGAAAAGGUGCAAGUCAAGCAAGAGGUUAGCUAUGCCUCGGAAAGAGGGGAGAAGCGAUGAGUGCUACACCAUCUCUUGUGAUGAAGAAAUCUCCGGUAAGUGGAUUCUUGACUCUGGAUGCUCUUACCAUAUGUGUCCAAAUAGGAAGUGGUUUACUACCUAUAAAAGCACUGAUGGUGGAACCGUGUUGAUGGGUAAUAACCAUUCCUGUAAAACGGUGGGACUCGGUUAAAUUAGAAUCAAGAUGUUUGAUGGAGUGGUUAGAACAUUGAUGGAUGUUAGACAUGUUCCUGAUUUACGGAAGAACCUUAUCUCUGUUGGUGCUUUAGACUCCGGUGGUUGCAAGAUUGUAACAUGAAAUGGAGUAAAGAAGGUUGUUCGUGGUUCUUUGAUUGUGAUGAAGGGUAUUCGUGAAGGCAAUCUCUAUGCUCUUCAGGGUACUACAGUUACAGAAGAUGUAGCGGUUGAAACAAGUGGAAGUGGUGGAGACCCAUGUGAGUGCACUCGGCUAUGGCAUAGGAGGCCUGGGCAUAUGUCUGAAAAGGGGCUAUAUCUGCUAGUCAAGAAAGGUUUGCUAAAGAACUUGAAGAAGCCUUGCAUGGAUUUUUGCGAGCAUUGCGUGUACGGUAAAGCACACUGAGUUCAGUUCCAGCCAAGCAAACAUAGAAGCAGAGGUAUUCUAGACUAUGUGCACACGGAUGUAUGGGGUCCGGCUUCUGUCACUUCCAAAGGAGGUUCCAGGUAUUUUGUUACAUUUGUUGAUGAUUAUUCUAGAUAUGCUUGGAUUUAUUUUUUGAAGCAUAAGAAUGAGGUAUUCGAUACUUUCAAGAAGUGGAAAGCAAUGGUUGAAAACAGAACAUGAAAGAAAUUGAAGACACUGCGAUCUGAUAACGAUACUGAGUAUACAGAUGGUGCUUUCAAGGAGUUCUGUGGUAAGUAAGGCAUUGCAAGACACUGGACAAUUAGAAAUAUACCACAACAGAAUGGGGUCGCGGAAAGACUGAAUCGCACAUUUCGAGAGAAAUCGAUGUUUAUGUGAUCCUAUGUUAGUUUGGGCAGAGAAUGGUGGGCAGAGUCGGUUGUAAAUGCUUGCUACAUAGUGAACCGGUCUCCACAUUCAAGGUUAGAUGGAGAUGUACCUUACAGGGUAUUGACAGGAGAACAUGCAGAUUAUGAGAAACUCAGAAUAUUCGGAUGCACAGCCUACUAUCACGUCAACGAGGGAAAGCUUGAUGCGAGGGCCAAGAAGGCUAUAUUCUUGGGGUAUGCGGCAGGUGUNNNNNNNNNNNNNNNNNNNNNNNNNNNNNNNNNNNNNNNNNNNNNNNNNNNNNNNNNNNNNNNNNNNNNNNNNNNNNNNNNNNNNNNNNNNNNNNNNNNNNNNNNNNNNNNNNNNNNNNNNNNNNNNNNNNNNNNNNNNNNNNNNNNNNNNNNNNNNNNNNNNNNNNNNNNNNNNNNNNNNNNNNNNNNNNNNNNNNNNNNNNNNNNNNNNNNNNNNNNNNNNNNNNNNNNNNNNNNNNNNNNNNNNNNNNNNNNNNNNNNNNNNNNNNNNNNNNNNNNNNNNNNNNNNNNNNNNNNNNNNNNNNNNNNNNNNNNNNNNNNNNNNNNNNNNNNNNNNNNNNNNNNNNNNNNNNNNNNNNNNNNNNNNNNNNNNNNNNNNNNNNNNNNNNNNNNNNNNNNNNNNNNNNNNNNNNNNNNNNNNNNNNNNNNNNNNNNNNNNNNNNNNNNNNNNNNNNNNNNNNNNNNNNNNNNNNNNNNNNNNNNNNNNNNNNNNNNNNNNNNNNNNNNNNNNNNNNNNNNNNNNNNNNNNNNNNNNNNNNNNNNNNNNNNNNNNNNNNNNNNNNNNNNNNNNNNNNNNNNNNNNNNNNNNNNNNNNNNNNNNNAGGAUAAGGAACGUCAGGUAUGUCGCUUGAGAAAAUCACUAUAUGGAUUGAAGCAAUCUCCUCGGCAGUGGUACAAGCGAUUUGACUCCUUCAUGCUAAAGCAUGGUUUCUCCAGAAGUGAGUAUGACUGUUGUGUUUAUAUUCGAAAACUUCGGGGAGGUAACUAUAUCUAUCUUCUUUUGUAUGUGGAUGACAUGCUUAUCGCUUCGAAAAGCAAGGUGGAGAUAGAUAGGUUGAAAUCUCAACUUGGUAAAGAGUUUGAGAUGAAGGAUAUGGGGGCUGCUAGGAAAAUACUGGGUAUGGAGAUUAGAAGAGAGAGGACGAACCGGCGAAUGUUCUUGAGUCAGAAAGGCUACAUUGAGCGGGUUAUUGCUAGGUUCGGGUUGCAAGGUGCAAAGUCGGUGGUGACUCCAUUGGCUCCACAUUUCAGGCUCUCUGGUAAACAAUCUCCUACUACAGCGGAAGAAAAGGUACGCAUGGAUCAUGUACCUUAUGCUAGUGCAGUUGGUAGUUUGAUGUAUGCCAUGAUGUGUACACGCCCAGAUAUUUCACAAGCGAUUAGUGUAGUCAGUAGAUUCAUGGCGAAUCCGGGGAAGGCACACUGGGAAGCUGUGAAGUGGAUCCUGAGGUACUUAAAAGGUACCGCGGAUACGGGUUUAUGUUUUGGUGGAGAUGCAUGUCAUAUAAGUGGGUUUGUGGACUCGGAUUAUGCAGGUGAUCUAGAUAGACGACGAUCUACUGCUGGAUAUGUGUUUUGCAUACAUGGUGCCCCAGUUAGUUGGCGAUCGAUGUUACAGGCUACAGUGGCUCUUUCUACUACAGAGGCCGAGUAUAUGGCCAUGGCAGAGGGAGUGAAGGAAGCAUUGUGGUUGUGGGGUCUUCUAGAUGAUUUGGGGAUUGAGCAGGAUUGUGUGGACUUGUGGUGUGAUAGUCAGAGUGCAAUUCAUUUGGCUAAGAAUCAGGUUCAUCAUGCUCGAACCAAGCAUAUCGACGUCGGGUAUCAUUUUGUUUUUUAUGUCAUAGAGGAAGGUGAUAUUUCUCUCUUGAAAGUACACACAAAUGAGAACCCAGCAGACAUGUUAACCAAAGUGGUAACGGGCAGCAAGUUUCAGCAUUGCUUGGACUUGCUUCACAUUAGUCCGUGUUGAUAUGCCCGAGUGGGCAUGGCCCUUCGGGGCGGGGUUGAAAUGAGGUGAAGAGUAUAUGAAGGUGGAGAUGAACUACGGAGGCUUGAUCCCGAGUUUUGGGUACGUAGCCAACCAUAGUUUGAAUGGUGCAGCCGAGUUUGGCGCUUGCUACUUCUUCUUGUGUUCGUCCAAAAUUUGAGAUCUAUCAAAUGAUGUAUGAGGUGGAGAAUUGUGAGAAAUGGAGAGGAAGCAAGGUGCCUAGGCCCCAUGAGUGGGCGCCUAGGCGCUGGCCGGUGAAAAAUGAGGCAGAAACUUGGCGCCUAGGCGCCCCGGAUUCAGCUAUGUAUAUCUAAUUUUUCCCCCUUCAAAGAUAGACCCGAUUUUUAGAGAGAAAAGAGAGAGAGUUUGGAUUGAAUUUAACAAGUAAGAGGUUGUUCUUCUUGGGUAUAAAUUUAAAGCUAUUUUUCUUUAUUGGGGGAUUAACUUGAGGCUUGUUUAAGUAAUCCAAAUCCAUUGUUCAUCAUAUAUAUUGAAAAUCAUUUCUUCCCCAAUUUCUUAUCUUUCAAGUGGUUUGGAAUUUUUCACAUUGCAAGUUAUCUUUCUUGGGCAAUCUUGGGAGUGUCAUUUUCCCAACAAUUACAAAAAGUUAGAUAUAACUAGUUAGAUUCUCGUGAUUUUUUUUAUCAUACUUCAUUGGGAACAAUCAACUUAUGGCCUUUUCUACAUCCAUUUCUUUGUUUCUUUUGAUUUUCAAAAUCAUGUUCGAAGAGUUGUCUUUGAGAAUGUCUUUUUGUUUACUAUUUUCUAUUUGGGAUUACAAUUUGUGUUGUUUUCGAACAUUUGAUUUUCAGUUUGAAUGCAUAUAUUCUUAUUGGAAUUAGGUUCAACAGUCUAGAAAAUGUUUUGUCUCGAAAAACGUUCGGCUAAAAGCAUUUUAAGCCAAAAAUCAAGAGCUAAAAGCUCAUCUUACACAAAAUCCUAAACAAGAAAGGCAACAAGAUACAGCUUUUACCAUAGUCCAUUGAGCAACUAGGUACAAAGUCAACAUUGCUCCAAAUUCCAAUGCCUUACUGUCUCACAAAAGAGUGCGGUAAAAUGUGAUAAAAAGCUUAUCCAUAAACAAUAAAUCAAAAUUGUAGAAGAUGUUCGAUAAAACAUAAUUUAACACGUAGUGCAUAAGCGGAGAAACAUGGAUCCUUCCUCUUUAGUUCUAUGUAGAAAAGGAGCGACGUGUCAUUUGUAAUCCUAACCAGGGACAGGUUUCCGUCUACUUCAUAUUCGAUUUUCAAGUGACCAGUUCCGCAAUCAAUCUUCAUCUCAAUGUAUAUAAUAUCAACUAGCUCCACCUACUUGAAUCCACUAGGUACAAGCAGUCCAAAUGUACUUGAUUUGAACAUUAUGAACAUGUUCACAUAGUCAUCAACUACAUCAAGAAAAAAAUGGAAUACAUAUCACCAUUUGAAUGGAACACGGGUAAAUAGCUCCAUAAAAAAACAACUAUUUAUGUUUUAUCAUAGUCACGUGUAUCACACACAGGUCAUGGUGUUAUAUGAGGGGAAGAUUAAGCAUCAGGAAAUAAAACAAAGUCAAUGAUUGAUUUAUUUAUUUAUUUUUAUUUUAAUUUAAUUUAAUUUUAUUUUAUUAUCAUUAUUAUUAUUUUUUUGCAUUUCAGAAUAUAGUUAACCAACAUAUUAACUAAUAGAUUUCGAUAAAUUGGAUCAGAUUUUGCUUUUUUCUUUAAUCGCUUGUAAAUCAAUAUAUCACAUAACCAUAUCGAACAAGCGGUGACCGAUCUAAUUUUCCAGUCAUGAAGCUACUAAAUUAUUCAGAGAUGAACAACAUCAACUAUAUUACAUUGAUUGGUUAAUACAUUCAUAAAUGAGUUGUGGCAUUGUCAUACAAAUUCUACACCUAUUUCUGCAUGCGACAAAGUGGGAAUCUAUACAUAACAGAACUUACAUGCAUAUAUUAGUUAAAUUUCAAAUGGUCCAUAUCAGUAAAAUUACAGCAAUUAGUGAAACAGACAACGAAAAUUAUGUCACUGGACAAAAAUCACUUUCAAUUUCAAAAGACCCCUCUCCCAAAAAAAAAAGAAGAAGAUGGAUUUCACAAACUGGAAGAUAUUCCACUAAAUCAGUAUUCAGAUGACAAACACGAUGAAGAUCUUACUGUAGCCAAUCAUCCGCAAUCACCUCCCUCAUGAAAUCAAGCUGCUCCUAGAAGUUAAUUUGCUCCUCUAACAUCAUUGUCACGAUAUGCACACUUGAAAGAUGAUAUUUGCAACCUAAGCCCAAAAGUUGGUGUCAGUUGCUGGAGCUUAUGAUGAUGAUAAAAAUGAUACGAUGAGAUCACAAACCACAAGUCCAACUCUCGAUCAACUAGUUUGAUUCUAAUUAAAUGAGAUUACAUUAUUUGGAAAGAAUCUUAUCCAAAUUGGGCUUAAUCGAGUCAUACGGAAAGAAAAACUAUACUUUCCUAUUCCACCAUGUGUGUUCUAAUCAAACAAUGGCUCCUUUUUAUAUAAAUAUGACCGUCAUCCCUUCAUUGAAGGUGCAGGACUAUUAUUUUACUGAUUACAUAGGUAUAUUACUUCUAAUAAUGACUUAGCCAUCUAAUCGACUAUGUGGUCAACAAUCUACGCCUUUAUUUCAUGUAAUCAGAGACUUAAGGAAACAUUUCAUUGAUGCCAGAUGGUUGAACCUGUCCCAAUCCAUGAUCGAUAUCAGAUGGUACAAAUUUUUUUACAUCAAAUAAUAUUAUUAGACAAAAUAAAAUAAAAAAGAUAUAUAUAACAAUUUUCUAGUGUCAUGUCAAGUUUUAUCUUCUCCCGAAUGCUAAAUACUCUAUGAGACUUUAUUUAAAGAUUGAAUUUUAAAUGAUGAUUUUUUUUCUCUCUCUCUAAUUUUAUAGAUUCUAAAUGGGCAUGUAACCUAUUAUAGAAGAUUAUUUUCUAAUUAAAUAAAAUGUAUAAUACGUUUAGCAACUAUGGAAGUUUUCUUAGCACAUGGACAUGUAAGCUUUGUACAACCCAUUUGUUAAGCAUAAUUAAAUGAAGUUCACACAAGGAUUAUGUUUUGUUGGACCAUUUUAACUGAAAUGAAUUUCUUCAAUUUUUUUUUUCUUUUUUCAUUAGUGCACUUAUGCCCUUUUCUCAUAUCAUUUUUAUCCUAAGUAUUUCAUUAAUUAGAACAUCAUUUCUUUUGAUGAUAGUUGUAGUCCAAAAGUUCGAUCAAUUAUUUUUUUUUCAUUUUAAAACUUGUUAAUAGAAUAUUUUGACAGAAACAAUCAUAAAAAAUAAAAUGUACUAAUUAAUUGAAGGUUAAUAAAAAGAAUGUGUAGGAAAAAAUCAAGAAAAUGAGUGCGACAAUGAUCAAAGGUUGAAAACCUUAAUUGUAAUUAAAAUAUUGUACAUGAAACAAAAACAGAGUGUAAAUAUAUAUAAUUACCCUUAAAUAAUUGGGUAAUGCUUUUCAUCGUUAGCGAUUAUAGUAGUUAUCUUAUGUGACAGAUUAUUAUUUGAGACAUUAACUAGUUAUUAAUUUGAGGUAACAUAAUUAUAGAAAAUUGACGUCUUAAACGACAAGUUGGCACAUAAAAUGACUACGGUAGUCGUUCAUUACAUUUAAAAUGAGUAUGGCAUGAUCACAUGAAUUAUGAAAUAGUGGAAAGUGCAAAUAUUCCCCAUCCUGUCUUCCAAAGUAAAAGUGCAUUUAUAUUAUACUCAUAAUUCUUCGAGGCUUUGUGGGUCAGAUGGAGACAUUAUAUCGACAGAUAAAGUUCGGGGGCUCAAUAAUUAAAUUAAAAUCAAACGUGACUGAAAGUUCGAAACCUUUAGCUAGAGAAAAUAUCCCUCCAAACUUUUAUUUAUGACUUUUAAGUCUUUAAUCUUUCGGAUUAAUUUUUAGAAAUUUAUUUAAAAAGCCAAACUUAAUUGAAAAUAUAACCAAAAAAAGAAAAAAAAAAAAAAAGGGAAAAAAAAAAGAGGGAAGGAAGAAGAAAGAAUGAAAAUCAAUGUAUAUUUUAUAGACAAAUAUAUCAUUAUUGUAUUUGACGGUGAAACUAAUUAUUAUUUAAAAGUUUUCAAAAUAUUUUAUUAAUGCAGUCGACUUUAAUUCUAUUCAAAAGAAAGUUCAGUCCUGUAUGAUUUAACUAAAAUUAAAUAUUUAGUAGAUUUAAAUAAAAAUUGAUGAGAUAUGUUGUUGAAGAAUUGAUAAAAAUUGUAGGUUCCAUGAAAUGCGUUAUUGAACAUGAAUUUGAGAAAAAAAUGAAUUUUAGAAAAAAAAAAUUAACAAUGAUUUAUUUAUUUAUGUUUGUUGUAUACCUUAAUGAUCUAAUCUAUAAUAUAAAUAGGAGAAACAGUGUUUAGUAGUAUUAAUUUUUCUUUUUUUGGCUGCUACUCCUAAUUCAGUACUGCAUUUUGAUGAAAAUCAAGUAUUGAUAAUAAAUAAUCCACAUAUAUUUCACAUAUCACAAAACCAGUUUUGCAUGUGUGAACUACAAGCAAUGGAUGUGGUAAUUGAGAAUCCUCACUUUUGGACAAUAUGGUCCAAACACAGAAUGGGUUUGAAUUAUUGAACGAAAUCCUCAACUCAACACAUAUCAAUGAAUCAAUCGGACAGCAAACAAAUUUUGUUUAAAUUGUACCAAUUCAUGUACUUAUAAAUAGUCGAAUAUAAUUAUUUAAUAAUUAUGUCUAGUAAAAAUUGACUUCAUUACUUAAAAAGUAAGACGUGUAGGGGUAACAUGUCUAUUUAAUAAUACAGAUAUAGAGUAAAGAAUUGGAUAUGAGAGUGCUACAAAGAAACGUAUUUAUUUACUUUAAUUAAGUGAUUAUCGCCAUCCAACAGUAUACCAUUUCCAUAAGUAGAAGAUAUUACUUACUAGUGGCUAUUAAAACUUCAUUCACGAGGGUUACAUAUAUAAUAGUGAAUAAUGCAUUAUUUUGUAGAAUUAAACUAAUCAAACAGGCUGGAUGACAGGACUUAUUUCCAGGGAUGAAUUGAAAACAUUUUGUUUUACUGUUUUUUGUUGCACGUAAAAUGUUGUUAAGCGUAUAUGUGUAAACAAACCAUUCAGUGAGGCUGUUCCUGUAACUAUCUUGCACUCUAUAAUAAUUGGCAGAGCAUAGUUGAGCUGGUGUGUACGAAAGCAUUCAUUGCAAUAUUGAAAUCUAAUUUCUAAACAAAUAUUUUGAGAAGUAACUUAUUGUUGUUUUGAGUUGUUGGAUUUAAAAGUGCAAGCCAACUAAUCCAAUAGACAGUGAUAAAAAAUAGAUUAUUAAUGUAGUCGACUUUAAUUUUUUAAGAAGAAGAAUAAUUUAUUUAUUUAUUCAUUUUUUUUAUUUGUCGUGAGAAAUUAUGUCAUAUUGGUAUUAAAUUUGAGAUAAAACUAACUUUGCUGUCUACUCAGCCUUAUUUAUCACUGCAUUUAGUUGAAAAUCCAGUUAUUUUAAUUUGAUUUAUUUUUUCCUCUCUUUUGAUUUGUUUAUAAACCAGAGUUAAUUUAAGGGUAUACAACACAUACAUAAUUUGAUACAUUUAGAAUUUAAUUAUAGUUCAAUAGAUGCCUAUAAUAACUACCCUCAACGUAAUCUAUUCCUUCAUUAUCUAGAACUAGAUCAAUUCACCCACUCAAAAAUGGAUAUAUCGAUACACGUAAGAGUACAUGUAGAAUACCAAAGGGAAUUAUUCGUGUUCAAACAAGUUUCAAUAAUACCAUUGUCACGGUUUUAGAUGUACGGGGUAAGGUGAUUUUUUGAUCUUCAACUGGUAUUUUUGGAGUUAAGCGUAUGAGAAGAUGGACACCAACUGGAGCCGCAAAUGCUAUUUGUACAGUAGUAGGUCCAGAAAUUCAACAAAUAGAAGUCCUGAUAAAAAAGUCCUGAUCUCGAAAACUUGGUUGACUUGUCACAGUGUACUUUUCUAUAACCGUUAUAAAUAAUGGACAAUUGUCGAACAUUGAGACAAGGCUCAAAAUAGUUGAUGUUACAGUAAUUGAUUGUUUGUUUGGAAACAUAAGUAAGUGGUAAUAAAGUUAUGUGUUGAUAAUUGCAAUUAAGGUCCCAAAAUUUUUAAAUCUUUACAAAUUUUACCCUCAUUUAUUGCAAUUACGAUCCCAAAUCUUUCAUCUAAUUGCUUCAGGAGGACUUUUAGUGAAAACCAUCACUUUUUUCGUUAGUUGACCAGAAAAAGGAAAACGAGGAUAAAAGAGAUAAGAUAAAUAAAAAAGGAGGAAAAAUAUUGAGCCAUAAUAACUUAUGGAAGAAAUCGAAUAAAUAUGAAACAUAUAUGUGUUUAAUGUUAGACUCCAACAAAAGGAUUCACUCUUUGUUUUUAAAUGUUUUUUGAGAGGCUUUUUAUUUGAAGAAACUCUUGGAAGGGGGAAGGUGUUGUCGUUAUCGUACAUCGAUUGUAAAAAGGAUUGAUGAUUAGAUUUUAAGUGCAAGAAAAAGUCUUACAUCUUGUGCUAGCUUUUGGAGUUGAAAAGGCUCAAGACUACCCAACACCGAUAUCAAUACUUAUGUUAUCAACAAGUCUCUGCCCAAGAAUUCAUGGGAGAUGUGAGUUUGUACCCACCUAGGGCCCGAUGUAUGUGGGGGAGAUUGUUGAAAUUAUCUCAUUUCUAUUGUGGAAAGGAUUGGUGGUCAAUUUAUAAGUGUGAGGGAAAGUCUUACAUCUUGAACUACCUUUUCGAGUUGAGAAGGCCAAAUAUCGCCUAACAGAAGGAAGGGGGUAUCCAUUUAGAUUUUUAUUGGUAUGUAUGAGCUCAAGAUAAUUUUUAUUUGUUUAUUUAUUUUUGUGUUCCCUAACUCCAUCCUUGCUAUUUUAGAAGAAGAGUUCAUUACAGUUUUCUCUUACGUCCGGGCAAUUGAGUUGGAUUUCGUUUCUACAAUACUCAUAGAUUGAGGAGUUCACUGAAAUUUUCUGACUCUGAGGUAGUUGAUUCCCUAUCUAAUGGUAUUUUAAUAAUAGAAAUUGCAAUUUAACUUGAUUAUUACAACCGCGCAAUGCGAGAAUACAAUUAUAUACUCCACAAGUAGAAGAUAAUACUGGCUAAUGGCUAUUGAGCACUAAAAUAAAUUAACGUGAGAUCUGUGCACAUAUAUAAUAAUUGGUUCAAGAUUAUUGAGUUGAUGUGCAUGAAAACAUAUAUUCACCGUCAUAUCGAAAUCUACUUCUAAAUAGCUCGCGAUUACUUUUAAGUUGUUCAAAUAACUUAUUUGCAAGACCAUCGUAUUUAUUAUUGUAUUUGAAAUUGCAAGGCAACUAAUUCAUUGAAACGUCCAAAAUGGAUUAUUAAUUUAGUCAACUUCGAUUCUAUCAUGAAGAAUAAAAGUUUAGAUUUAACAAAUUUAUUUUGACUCAAUGUACGAAAUUUUACAAUUAAAAGCAACAAGUUACUUUUUAAUUAUUUUUACAUGAUUAAUAAAUCACAUCAGAUUAUCAUAUGGCUUGAAUGCCAAAAUUAAUAAUAUGAAAGUCAUAAAUAACACAAAAUAUGUUGAUGGAGAAAAUCCAAUUGAGUAAAAAUUUCGGGACCAAACCAAUAACAUCUACUAUGGAUAAUGAACUUAUAGUAUGAUCCAGCCUGGAAAACCUACUAGACUUGCUGAUCUAAUUCCUACAAUCUCCAAAACUCAUUGAAACGUCUUCACUCAUACCUAUUCCUGAUCUUCUGGAAUUGUCUGUCUCUGGUGGAUCACCAAGAGCAUCUUGUUCUUGUACUCUUCCUGUACUUCUAAUCCAACCUCUCUCAAUCUUCAGCAAUCUCUGAAAGCUAUUGAGAAAAUACAUUCCUGUAUGUGUAUAGGAAGUUGGUGUCUUGGAUUAUACGAAUUUGAUGUUUUCCCAAAAUUGUGGUUGAAUGAUCUCAAGAAUCAAAGGCUUAAUCUCAAGGUUUGAAUGUAGUCUUGAAUAUUAUAAAUGUAAUAUGACAAAGUAAUAUAAUGAACAACCAUAUCUCAAAUCGUGUUAUGACUUGGGUAUCUAUAGUAGAAUGCAUAGGCCGGAUAGAACUCUUGAAAUACACAUAACAGCAUCGCUCAAGUGCUAGGCUAGCGACGGGCAAGCAAUCUGUGUGUCGCUAGAGUGAUAGGCUGUGUAAAUUUGGCGAUUCUUUCCUUCUUGUUCCAAACUUGAACCCAAAAAUACCUAAUUCAUCUAUACAACAUUCCAAUUGACUUCUUGACUUUUACAACUUUUUAUAUUAGUCCUUUUGUUUAAAGAAUUGUAAAUACAAUAAAAACCUAACAAAGAAGGUUUAAUAUAAUUUUGUUUUUGUGAGAAUAUGUCAGAUUGGUAUGAAAUUUGAGAUAGACAAAUUAAUCUUUCUUUUAGGCUAUCUAUCUCGUUAUUCACCACAUUUAGCCCUUGUUUGGUUUAGACUAAAAGAUAUUUAGUAGGUUUCGGGGAAUUUGUUUGUAAUGCGUCGUUAUAUUUGAUUAUUGACUUUUUAACUUGAAUUUUAAUCGACUUUUUUGUGGAAACAAAUGGAGGCUUAGUGAAAAACUAUGGAAUGAGAUUGUUACAAAAAAUUAUGUAAGUUUUCAAUUCAUUUUUCUUUCUUUUGACUUGAUUUACUAGAAUCGUAUUUGUAAACAAGACUUAUUUUAGGAUGCACAACACAUAUCUCCACAACAUGCAACAUUGGACCAAAAAUUAAUGGUUUCUGAAUUGAAUCAGUUCAUACCCCCACCAACACACAGGUUAUAAAAGGACAAAAUUAUGCAACAAACUGCACGAGAAAAUGCAUUUAUAGGGCCAAAUUGCCGUUCAUAUUGUAUAGAUCUGGUAGAUUUGUUGUAAUCUCAUAUCAUUUUUGUAUAUCACCUUCCUUUCAAUUCCCAUAAACAGAUUUCAACUGGGGCUCCCUUCUACGCAUAAAUGGCGGAUUCGCUGGGGAUGCUACAGGAGUAGCUUUUGAUCGUUUGAACGGAGUGUUAAACUACCAACAAGAAGGAGCAAAGACGCUUUAAAAAUGCAUACGAAACGCCAUUGCCAGAAAACUCAUAAAAUAUGGGCAGAUUCAUUGAUUGUCAAACUUUCUUAAAAUCUUUAACCUUUUGCUUUACAGUAAAAUUAAUUUUCACAACAAAAAAUGAACACAAGUUUGUGAUUAACUCAAGAAUAAAAACCACCAUUCUAGCCGACAUUAUAGAAAUUUUAAAAUCGGAAAAUACCCAUUACCUUUGUCUGCCAUUUUUCAAUAACUGCUUCCAAUAUCUGUCUGAAAUUUGUAGGCACUGCAAGUGGUGAAAUUUGGAGAAAAUGGGCCGUAUUUCGCUCGAAGAGGGUAAGAACCGUUAAAAAAUGAAAAGAGAAGUCCAUGUAUGCUUCAUGUUAUCUACGCUUAAACAAUAAGAUCACCAUAUCCUCCCAAAUAUUUUUCUUUUUCAAAAUCCCUUAUUUCAACCCUUAGCUCCUUCAAUGGGGUGAAAGCCUAUUAUGGUGUUUGCAAAAGCAAUCAGAAUAUUCAUAAAAUUGAAGAUCAUUGUAAUGAUUCAAUGAUGAGAAUUAAAUACCCAUGCAUGAAAUCCACUAGUAAAAGUGAUUGACUAGUAUAAUGAUUUGAUUGAAAUCCUCCAACCAUCUUUGGAAAUCCAUAAAGCUUUAGAUAAAGUUAGUGAGAAGCAUAUAGCUUCAUAAGAGGAUUUAUUGGUGGUAACAAGUUGUAUCUAUUAAUUGAAUCGAUCAUUGGCUAGCUACGUUUAAUAAGAUACUAAGCCACAUGUAAUGAACAGUGUAUAUAUAUAAGUCUUAAACAUGACUUCAUAAGGAAAUUAAACAAAAAUGGAAUAAUUCCCUAAAUUAUGUAAAGUCAAUCGAGAACGUUCUUUAACUAAACUUCUAAAUAGAGAUUUAGUAGGUCUACAUCGAGUGGGAUGGGUUGAAACUUUUAUACUAAAAGGUCCACCAAUGAUGGCAACGUUACCUGUCAUUACUCAAAAGGUAAUCCACAGUUGCAAAGGGUAAUAAUAAGUCAUUCGAUAUGUGGAUAGUUUUAGUUUUAUAUAAAUCCACGAUAACCCUAUCCUAAUUAAAUAAUACAGGUUGUNAAAAAAAAAAAGGUAAACCAUUUAUAUGUAACUUCUUCACUCUGUUUUUGAUACAUCAUUUAUAUGUAAACCAUUAUGUAACUCCAUUAUGUACAAGUAACAUUAUUCUUCUACUACUAAGCUUUGAAAUUAAAUUCGAUAUAAUUGUAGAGGGGAAGCAAAAAGUAGCGAAAGAGGUAAUUGAAGCCAUAGACGAAGAAAAAAGGUCUGUGACAUUUAAGAUCGUUGAGGGUGAUCUGAUGGAGUUAUACAAGACCUUCACAGCCAGUUUUCAUGUUGAAACAAAUGGUGACGUCGAUUUGGUGACAUGGACUUUCGCGUAUGAGAAGCUAAAUGAUGACAUAGAAGAUCCACUAUCAUUGUUGGGUGUUUGCAUUAAGCUUACUAAAGAUAUUGAGUCUCACCAUCUCAAGGCAGCCUAAUAUGCAUAGGAAAGUCUCACUAAGCCAUCUCAAUUUGUGUAUGCGAGUAUGUGUGUUUCUUUUUCGUCAUAGUAACAAAAUAAAUAGUGUUUGCUGAUGUUUCUGAGUGAAAUAAUGCUGUGGCUUGGUUAUACUUGGUUUCAUUGAGUGAUUAAGUGUAUUCUUAUUUUGUGAAAUAAUUAAAGUGCAGAAUGUUAGAGAAUCUCCAAAUCAGAUUUAGAAUUCUGCAUAAUAUCUAUCCAUCAUGUAACCACUGUAUUCUAAAGUUAUUCAAUCUCUAUCUUCUUAGUUUUCAAUUGUAACAAAUUAAUUCUUUAGGUUCAUGCACGCUUUAUAUACUUAGAAAUUAAUGUAUCAAUCUAGGUCUAAAUUUAUUCUUCAAUAUUUUCAAGAU